CGCGCAGGCGGCCUAUCAAGUCAGGCGUGAAAGCCCCGGGCUUAACCUGGGAAUUGCGCUUGGGACUGACGGGCUGGAGUUCGGGAGAGGAGAGUGGAAUUCCCAGUGUAGAGGUGAAAUUCGUAGAUAUUGGGAAGAACACCGGUGGCGAAGGCGGCUCUCUGGACCGAUACUGACGCUGAGGCGCGAAAGCGUGGGGAGCAAACAGGAUUAGAUACCCUGGUAGUCCACGCUGUAAACGAUGAGAGCUAGUUGUCGGCAUGCAUGCAUGUCGGUGACGCAGCUAACGCAUUAAGCUCUCCGCCUGGGGAGUACGGUCGCAAGAUUAAA
RNAcentral lists this ribosomal RNA (330 nucleotides) under uncultured bacterium. RNAcentral's name for it is "bacterial SSU rRNA". It matches the Rfam family "Bacterial small subunit ribosomal RNA", at positions 568 to 898 of the family's 1533-position model. The record is from RNAcentral.